Molecule: transfer RNA, 89 nt
Filed under: Trichosporon asahii var. asahii CBS 2479
Lineage: Eukaryota; Fungi; Basidiomycota; Tremellomycetes; Trichosporonales; Trichosporonaceae
Also listed under: 1 other name
Description: tRNA-Lys
Rfam family: tRNA
About the family: Transfer RNA (tRNA) molecules are approximately 80 nucleotides in length. Their secondary structure includes four short double-helical elements and three loops (D, anti-codon, and T loops).
Source: RNAcentral
GCCUCGUUAUAUCAGUCGGUAGAUAGUGUGACUCUUAGUCUCUAUGCCGAUAGAUCACACAGUCAUGGGUUCGAGCCCCAUACGAGGCU